RNAcentral lists this ribosomal RNA (465 nucleotides) under uncultured bacterium. Its description in RNAcentral is "partial 16S ribosomal RNA". It matches the Rfam family "Bacterial small subunit ribosomal RNA", at positions 28 to 507 of the family's 1533-position model. The record is from RNAcentral.
GACGAACGCUGGCGGCGUGCUUAACACAUGCAAGUCGAACGGAAAGGCCCUGCUUGCAGGGUACUCGAGUGGCGAACGGGUGAGUAACACGUGGGUGGUCUGCCCCGCACUUCGGGAUAAGCCUGGGAAACUGGGUCUAAUACCGACUAGGUGCCAUUUUUAGUGUGAUGGUUGGAUAGUUUUUUCGGUGUAGGAUGAGUUCGCGGCCUAUCGGCUUGUUGGUGUGGUAAUGGCCUACCAAGGCGGCUACGGGUAGCCGGGCUGUGUGGGUGGACGGCGACAUAGGGACUGAGAGGCGGCCCAGACACCGACGGGAGGGAGCAGGGGGGAAGAUUGAAGAAGGGGCGCAAGCCGGGUGCAGCGACGCCGCGUGGGGGAUGACGGCCUUCGUGGGGUAAACUCCUUUCGCAAGGGACGAAGCUUGUUGUGACGGUACCUAGAUAAGAAGCACCGGCUAACUACGUG